GUGCUCGCUUCGGCAGCACAUAUGCUAAAAUUGGAAUGGUGCAGAGAAGAUUAGCAUGGCCCCUGCGCAAGAAUGACACGCAAAUUCGUGAAGCGAAUUAAAAAUAU
This is a small nuclear RNA of Pipistrellus kuhlii (Kuhl's pipistrelle), 107 nucleotides long. Lineage: Eukaryota; Metazoa; Chordata; Mammalia; Chiroptera; Vespertilionidae. The record is from RefSeq and is a predicted model, not a curated record.